RNAcentral lists this ribosomal RNA (241 nucleotides) under Staphylococcus aureus. RNAcentral describes it as "partial 16S ribosomal RNA". It matches the Rfam family "Bacterial small subunit ribosomal RNA", at positions 183 to 418 of the family's 1533-position model. Lineage: Bacteria; Bacillati; Bacillota; Bacilli; Caryophanales; Staphylococcaceae. The record is from RNAcentral.
GAACCGCAUGGUUCAAAAGUGAAAGACGGUCUUGCUGUCACUUAUAGAUGGAUCCGCGCUGCAUUAGCUAGUUGGUAAGGUAACGGCUUACCAAGGCAACGAUGCAUAGCCGAACUGAGAGGGUGAUCGGCCACACUGGAACUGAGACACGGUCCAGACUCCUACGGGAGGCAGCAGUAGGGAAUCUUCCGCAAUGGGCGAAAGCCUGACGGAGCAACGCCGCGUGAGUGAUGAAGGUCUU